CCUACGGGUGGCAGCAGUGAGGAAUAUUGGUCAAUGGGCUUACGCCUGAACCAGCCAAGUCGCGUGAGGGAAGACUGCCCUAUGGGUUGUAAACCUCUUUUGUCAGGGAGCAAUUGGCGCUACGUGUAGCGUUAUCGAGAGUACCUGCAGAAAAAGCAUCGGCUAACUCCGUGCCAGCAGCCGCGGUAAUACGGAGGAUUCGAGCGUUAUCCGGAUUUAUUGGGUUUAAAGGGUGCGUAGGCGGGAUGCCAAGUCAGCGGUCAAAUGGGCGGGGUUAACCCCGGGCCGGCCGUUGAAACUGGCGUUCUUGAGUGCGCAUGAAGCAGGCGGAAUGAGUGGUGUAGCGGUGAAAUGCAGAGAUAUCACGCAGAACUCCGAUUGCGAAGGCAG
RNAcentral lists this ribosomal RNA (390 nucleotides) under uncultured bacterium. RNAcentral describes it as "partial 16S ribosomal RNA". It matches the Rfam family "Bacterial small subunit ribosomal RNA", at positions 338 to 724 of the family's 1533-position model. The record is from RNAcentral.